Molecule: long non-coding RNA, 506 nt
Filed under: Homo sapiens (human)
Lineage: Eukaryota; Metazoa; Chordata; Mammalia; Primates; Hominidae
Description: non-protein coding lnc-MFSD2B-2:1
Source: RNAcentral
AUGGCUGCACUCUUGCUGAGACAUGUUGGAGUGGUCAUUGCCUCCGAGCGCACUUUAGCCCUCAGCUUUGUAUCAGAAAUGCUGUUCCUUUGGGAAUCAUGGCCAAAGAAGAGAUGGAAUGGUUCUGGAAUAAGAACACAGGUUCAAACCGUCCCGUAUCUCCCCACGUCACUAUCUAGAGUUGGUGUCUUCCUAUGUCGAUGUCCAUCUGCCACCAUGGCUCUGGUAUUGCUUUGAGCACAGGGGUCUCUUUUUGGCAUGUCAGCCCUGUUACUCCCAGGAAAGUUUAAGUCUUACUUGGAACUCAUUGGUCCCUGUGUCUGGGGCCAGCACUGAUGGACACAACUAAGUUUGCACUCGUCUUCCCUCUCAUGUAUCAUACCUGGAAUGGGAUCCAACACUUGAUGUGGGACCUAGGAAAAGGCCUGAAGAUUCCCCAGCUAUACCAGUCUGGAGUGGUUGUCCUGGUUCUUACUGUGUUAUUUGUAGGGCUGGCAGCUGUGUGA